AAAAAUCUUGAUGACGGAAUUGAUGAUGAGC
Molecule: non-coding RNA, 31 nt
Filed under: Rattus norvegicus (Norway rat)
Lineage: Eukaryota; Metazoa; Chordata; Mammalia; Rodentia; Muridae
Source: RNAcentral